This 399-nucleotide ribosomal RNA is filed under the name uncultured bacterium. RNAcentral describes it as "bacterial SSU rRNA". It matches the Rfam family "Bacterial small subunit ribosomal RNA", at positions 115 to 510 of the family's 1533-position model. The record is from RNAcentral.
GCCUAGGAAUCUGCCUAGUAGUGGGGGAUAACGUCCGGAAACGGGCGCUAAUACCGCAUACGUCCUACGGGAGAAAGUGGGGGAUCUUCGGACCUCACGCUAUUAGAUGAGCCUAGGUCGGAUUAGCUAGUUGGUGAGGUAAUGGCUCACCAAGGCGACGAUCCGUAACUGGUCUGAGAGGAUGAUCAGUCACACUGGAACUGAGACACGGUCCANACUCCUACGGGAGGCAGCAGUGGGGAAUAUUGGACAAUGGGCGAAAGCCUGAUCCAGCCAUGCCGCGUGUGUGAAGAAGGUCUUCGGAUUGUAAAGCACUUUAAGUUGGGAGGAAGGGCAGUUACCUAAUACGUGAUUGUUUUGACGUUACCGACAGAAUAAGCACCGGCUAACUCUGUGCCA